GUAGGUGGCAAGCGUUGUCCGGAAUUAUUGGGCGUAAAGCGCGCGCAGGCGGUUCUUUAAGUCUGAUGUGAAAGCCCACGGCUCAACCGUGGAGGGCCAUUGGAAACUGGAGAACUUGAGUACAGAAGAGGAAAGCGGAAUUCCACGUGUAGCGGUGAAAUGCGUGGAGAUGUGGAGGAACACCAGUGGCGAAGGCGGCUUUCUGGUCUGUAACUGACGCUGAGGCGCGAAAGCGUGGGGAGCAAACAGGGAUUAGAUACCCUGGUAGUCCACGCCGUAAACCGAUGAGUGCUAAGUGUUAGGGGGGUUUCCGCCCCCUUAGUGCUGCAGCUACGCAUUAAGCACUCCGCCUGGGGAGUACGGCCGCAAGGCUG
Molecule: ribosomal RNA, 374 nt
Filed under: uncultured organism
Description: partial 16S ribosomal RNA
Rfam family: Bacterial small subunit ribosomal RNA
Source: RNAcentral